UUCAUCGAAUUUUAUCUAAGUGUUUCUGAUGUUAUAUGUACUGUAUUAUUCUCUUUUUCUUUUAUAAAGAUGUUUCUACUAAAAGUGAGUUGUGUCUAUACUUAAAGGAAAAGUAAUGGUAGUGCUUGUACUACAUCAUGGGAUAAUAUUCUGUGUUAAGUUUGUCGGUUUGCUUUCCUUCCCUCUAUAUAAGGGAAAGUUUGUAUCAGUUUGAGGCAAAAUGAAAAAUAAUAUCAGCUCUUUUAUCUACUCCUAUCGCUUGCUAAAUUUCUAUCUUCUCCUU
RNAcentral lists this unclassified non-coding RNA (283 nucleotides) under Hevea brasiliensis (rubber tree). Lineage: Eukaryota; Viridiplantae; Streptophyta; Magnoliopsida; Malpighiales; Euphorbiaceae. The record is from RNAcentral.